Molecule: unclassified non-coding RNA, 312 nt
Filed under: uncultured fungus
Lineage: Eukaryota; Fungi
Description: partial internal transcribed spacer 1
Source: RNAcentral
GUCCCAAAUAGUCAUGAAAUUCGACAAAGCCCUGGGUGAUUUGUUCCGGCUCCAGAUGCCAUAAGCCGAACUCGCGCACGCCGGGAGAAUCAAUGACAUCGCCGCCAUGCGGGAAAUGAUACAGACGAGCAGCGGUAGUGGUAUGUUGACCCAGACCGGAGACAUUCGACACAUCGUUCGUCAGAAUCUCGUUCUGUAAGCCGAGCAGAGCGUUUAGCAGACUGGAUUUUCCGACGCCGGACUGCCCGGCAAAAAUACUGAUGCGACCGGUUAACGCUUCUUCCAGCGGUUUCAGACCAUCCUGCGUAUGGC